CGCGUAGGCGGGAUGAUCAGUCUGUGGUGAAAACUUGCGGCUUAACCGCAAGCCUGCCUUAGAUACUGUCAUUCUUGAGUUCGGAAGAGGGAAGUGGAAUUCCUGGUGUAGCGGUGAAAUGCGUAGAUAUCAGGAAGAACACCGGUGGCGAAGGCGGCUUCCUGGUCCGAUACUGACGCUGAGGCGCGAAAGCGUGGGGAGCAAACAGGAUUAGAUACCCUGGUAGUCC
RNAcentral lists this ribosomal RNA (229 nucleotides) under uncultured bacterium. RNAcentral describes it as "partial 16S ribosomal RNA". It matches the Rfam family "Bacterial small subunit ribosomal RNA", at positions 568 to 796 of the family's 1533-position model. The record is from RNAcentral.